CUAUGCAUUAGAAUUAGAAUCUAAAUA
This 27-nucleotide transfer RNA is filed under the name Cyrtocarenum grajum. RNAcentral describes it as "partial tRNA-Leu". Lineage: Eukaryota; Metazoa; Arthropoda; Arachnida; Araneae; Ctenizidae. The record is from RNAcentral.